RNAcentral lists this long non-coding RNA (777 nucleotides) under Monodelphis domestica (gray short-tailed opossum). RNAcentral describes it as "lncRNA (ENSMODG00000036422.1)". Lineage: Eukaryota; Metazoa; Chordata; Mammalia; Didelphimorphia; Didelphidae. The record is from RNAcentral.
AUGGAGGGCAGAGUGGGGGCUGGGCGGCUGCCAGAGCCUUCAGGCCCGGCUCUGGGCUGGCCACCCUCCCUCCAGGCUCUCGGAGGAGCCUCCGCGCAGGGCCAGGCUGGACGGGAGGCUGAAGGGCCGCCGGUAUUUAUGGCCCAUUAUCUAAGGAGCAGAUUAAACAAACGAGUCAGGGCUUCCUCAUUAGCAGUGUGGAGCUGCCUGCUUUGCUGCUCAGUGGCCUCAUUAACAUUAAUUAUUAGAAGAGGCCUGUCCUUCUCCAUAGCCUGGCUCGGCCGGAUAAAUGUCUGCGGGCAGAAGAGGGCCGCCCGCCCUCCUCCGAGGCUCGGGCUCACUCGGCUGGGCUUGGGGGCUAAAAGAAAAGGCCCGAAACCCAGAGGCGGCCCCGACGUCCCUCCCAGGACAUUUAAGACAGGCCUCCGGGGAGGGGAACCUCCGGGCUCUCCCCACACCAGGCUGCGUCUAGCCGUCCUCCAGCCCUCUCUCCUUCCCUCGUCCUCCCCUGGCAGGCCGGGACACCCUCGUCUUCUCUUCCUCUGCUCGGCCCGAAGUCCGGCCUGCUGGGGAUGGCCGUCUAGCCGUCCUCCAGCCCUUUCUCCUUCCCUCGUCCUCCCCUGCAGGCCGGGACACCCUCGUUGCCUUCUCUUCCUCUGCUCGGCCGGAAGUCCGGCCUGCUGGGGAUGCACAAGUUGCCUUUUGUUUUUGAAAAUGUGCCGGGGAAGAACUUUCUCUCUUCUGUCCACUGGACGACGCAAAGAGAGACCGAUCUAG